This is a long non-coding RNA of Sarcophilus harrisii (Tasmanian devil), 1568 nucleotides long. RefSeq lists it as uncharacterized. The record is from RefSeq and is a predicted model, not a curated record. The transcript is spliced from 4 exons. Lineage: Eukaryota; Metazoa; Chordata; Mammalia; Dasyuromorphia; Dasyuridae.
CAUCCUUCAUUUUCAAAGAGGACUAAUGACAUCAUGGGGUGAUAUCUUGAUUGUUAAGUGAAUUCAAUUUAAGUUGAAGCAGAGUUGCACCAAGCUGUCAGCUUCACUCUCUCUUCCAGUCAUCAAAAUGGAGCCAUGCAAAUACCAAGAAUGGCCAUAGUCCCCUCACGUGACAUCUAGAUCAACCAGCAUUACAAAAUGAUAUUUAUGAAGGACUGGAAAAGAGAAAUCUUCCUUUUCAUCUUAACCUGCAGCAUCUUAUGCUUCCCACAAGAAUAAAACCUCACCGAACAAAACAGAACCUACACCAGGCUCCUACUCUGAAGGCCAGCCUACUGUUCACUGACAUUAGGAAAUAACAUCUAUAAGUUGCUGUCUGGUUCACCCAGAGACACAGGAUCCUGGCUCCAGACUCUCCCCACCUCCUACUCCCCCCCCCCCACACACACAUCCUCACUUGAAUCAGGCGAGAUCUCCAUCCUCCCCAAAGCCUAGACACUCCUUCAGUACACACCAAAGGACGGCUACCGAGAGCGGAAACAAGCCACAUCGGGUCUGUGACGGCCUUUGUUAUGCUAUAAUAGUUGGACCCUAUUAAACUAUAAAAAAAAACCGAACGACGCACAUAAAACUGUACGUUGCCUGCUCCCGGCUGGGCCAGCCAGCGCUGCCCACCCUCCCACUAGGCUCCGGCGUGCCGCUUUACUAGCCCCAGCGAUUCUGGGCUCCAGGACACAGCGGCACCAAGGCUGGGGCUGCCUCCUGAACACUGGCAGCACAAAGCGACAGGAGCUUCAAGGCCUUUCUAUACCUUUUUAAAUUGUUAUUGUUAUUAUUCUCAGGAUUUAUGGCGUGCAGUCCGCCAAAGGACAGAGUCUCCUGACUCGUGUCUCGUGCCUCCCGACUCCCGGCUCCCUCUCCCCUACCUAAGGAGAAUGGACCGGCUAAGGAACGCAUUGCAGACUAAAUACCUCUCUCCGCCACCCCCACCCCCCCAUCAAAGUCCCAAUUUGGGGAGAAGAUCGUUGCCCUCCGUUUCUGUCAGUAUGUUGAAAAGCUCUUCCUUCCAUCCAAGAUCUUGGAAGUCAACCUGAGGUUACCCUGUAUAAUCAAGUAAGGAGUUGAAUAGAGGACUGAGGAGAACACACAGAUUGGGAUCCCUCUCGUUCAGCAGUGAACAGUCUUUCAAAUUCCCUGUAAAUGGAGAUUUUUCUUCUUCCUCUUCCCCCAUAUCCUCAUAAAGCUUUUCCAAGAUGAGUCUGUCCUAUCUAGUAUCCUUGGCCAUCAGUGGAGCCAUAACUGGGAAAUUCUGACACCCGGAGCGAACUUGUUGAGCAAGGGAAGGGGGUUUGGGAAAGAUCCUAGAGACCCUAAGAUACCCCAAGGCUAACAUGCAACACCAUCACCACUAAAUGGACUUUGUUCAUAGUACAGGUUCCCAAGCCAGGAAACCAGUAGACAACCAAGGGGGGAAAGGCAGCUCUAAGACAAGGGCAUAACAGUUCUGGCUCUCUUUCAGGGACUGAGGUACAUCCUCCAUCCAGGGCACUGAAGUGAGUCACCAAGGG